CCUACGGGUGGCAGCAGUUAAGAAUCUUGCACAAUGGGGGCAACCCUGAUGCAGCGACGCCGCGUGAAUGAUGAAGGCCUUCGGGUUGUAAAGUUCCGUAAGCAGGGAAGAAUAAGCAACGGGAAAUAUUCGUUGUGAUGACGGUACCUGCCUAAAGCCCCGGCUAACUACGUGCCAGCAGCCGCGGUAAUACGUAUGGGGCGAGCGUUGUUCGGAAUUAUUGGGCUAGAAGGGCGAUUAAGUUAGAGGUGAAAGCCACGGGCUCAACCCGUGAACUGCAUCUAAGACUGGUUCUCUUGAGUUCGGGAGAGGAGAGCGGAAUUCCAGGUGUAGCGGUGAAAUGCGUAGAUAUCUGGAAGAACACCAGUGGCGAAGGCGGCUCUCUGGCCUAGAACUGACGCUGAAGCGCGAAAGCGUGGGGAGCGAACAGGAUUAGAUACCCCAGUAGUC
Molecule: ribosomal RNA, 450 nt
Filed under: uncultured bacterium
Lineage: Bacteria
Description: partial 16S ribosomal RNA
Rfam family: Bacterial small subunit ribosomal RNA
Source: RNAcentral